UACGUAGGGGGCUAGCGUUGUCCGGAAUCAUUGGGCGUAAAGCGCGUGUAGGCGGUCCGGUAAGUCCGCUGUGAAAGUCGGGGGCUCAACCCUCGGAUGCCGGUGGAUACUGUCGGGCUUGAGUACGGAAGAGGCGAGUGGAAUUCCUGGUGUAGCGGUGAAAUGCGCAGAUAUCGUCCAGAACACCGAUAGCGAAGGCAGCUUACUAAGGAGUAACUGACGCUGAGGCACGAAAGUGUGGGGAUCAAACAGG
Molecule: ribosomal RNA, 253 nt
Filed under: uncultured bacterium
Lineage: Bacteria
Description: partial 16S ribosomal RNA
Rfam family: Bacterial small subunit ribosomal RNA
Source: RNAcentral